GUAACAAGGUCUCCGUUGGUGAACCAGCGGAGGGAUCAUUGCUGGAACGCGCCCCUGGCGCACCCAGAAACCCUUUGUGAACUUAUACCUUACUGUUGCCUCGGCGCAUGCUGGCCCCCUGGGGGCCCCUCGGAGACGAGGAGCAGGCACGCCGGCGGCCAAGUUAACUCUUGUUUUUACACUGAAACUCUGAGAAAAAAAACACAAAUGAAUCAAAACUUUCAACAACGGAUCUCUUGGUUCUGGCAUCGAUGAAGAACGCAGCGAAAUGCGAUAAGUAAUGUGAAUUGCAGAAUUCAGUGAAUCAUCGAAUCUUUGAACGCACAUUGCGCCCUCUGGUAUUCCGGAGGGCAUGCCUGUUCGAGCGUCAUUUCAACCCUCAAGCAUUGCUUGGUGUUGGGGCACUGCUUUUUACCCAAAAGCAGGCCCUGAAAUCUAGUGGCGAGCUCGCCAGGACCCCGAGCGCAGUAGUUAAACCCUCGCUUUGGAAGGCCCUGGCGGUGCCCUGCCGUUAAACCCCCAACUUUUGAAAAUUUGACCUCGGAUCAGGUAGGAAUACCCGCUGAACUUAAGCAUAUC
RNAcentral lists this ribosomal RNA (579 nucleotides) under Diaporthe hongkongensis. RNAcentral describes it as "eukaryotic LSU rRNA". The stretch from base 217 to 370 matches the Rfam family "5.8S ribosomal RNA". Lineage: Eukaryota; Fungi; Ascomycota; Sordariomycetes; Diaporthales; Diaporthaceae. The record is from RNAcentral.